CGACCGCUGGCGGCGUGCUUAACACAUGCAAGUCGAACGGAAAGGCCCUGCUUUUGUGGGGUGCUCGAGUGGCGAACGGGUGAGUAACACGUGAGUAACCUGCCCUUGACUUUGGGAUAACUUCAGGAAACUGGGGCUAAUACCGGAUAGGAGCUCCUGCUGCAUGGUGGGGGUUGGAAAGUUUCGGCGGUUGGGGAUGGACUCGCGGCUUAUCAGCUUGUUGGUGGGGUAGUGGCUUACCAAGGCUUUGACGGGUAGCCGGCCUGAGAGGGUGACCGGCCACAUUGGGACUGAGAUACGGCCCAGACUCCUACGGGAGGCAGCAGUGGGGAAUAUUGCACAAUGGGCGGAAGCCUGAUGCAGCAACGCCGCGUGCGGGAUGACGGCCUUCGGGCUGUAAACCGCUUUCGCCUGUGACGAAGCGUGAGUGACGGUAAUGGGUAAAGAAGCACCGGCUAACUACGUG
This 466-nucleotide ribosomal RNA is filed under the name uncultured bacterium. Its description in RNAcentral is "partial 16S ribosomal RNA". It matches the Rfam family "Bacterial small subunit ribosomal RNA", at positions 30 to 507 of the family's 1533-position model. The record is from RNAcentral.